RNAcentral lists this ribosomal RNA (216 nucleotides) under uncultured bacterium. RNAcentral describes it as "partial 16S ribosomal RNA". It matches the Rfam family "Bacterial small subunit ribosomal RNA", at positions 524 to 738 of the family's 1533-position model. The record is from RNAcentral.
UACGUAGGGUGCAAGCGUUGUCCGGAUUUAUUGGGCGUAAAGAGCUCGUAGGCGGUUUGUCGCGUCGGAUGUGAAAACCCAGGGCUCAACCCUGGGCCUGCAUUCGAUACGGGCAAACUAGAGUAUGGCAGGGGAGACUGGAAUUCCUGGUGUAGCGGUGAAAUGCGCAGAUAUCAGGAGGAACACCCGGUGGCGGAAGGCGGCAACCUGGUCCUU